This 442-nucleotide ribosomal RNA is filed under the name uncultured bacterium. Its description in RNAcentral is "partial 16S ribosomal RNA". It matches the Rfam family "Bacterial small subunit ribosomal RNA", at positions 339 to 795 of the family's 1533-position model. The record is from RNAcentral.
CUACGGGUUGCUGCAGUCGAGAAUAUUCCACAAUGGGCGAAAGCCUGAUGGAGCGACGCCGCGUGCAGGAUGACAGCCUGCGGGUUGUAAACUGCUUUUUAUAGGGAAAAAGUUAUUGAUGGUACCUAUAGAAUAAGGGGUUGCAAACUUCGUGCCAGCAGCCGCGGUAAUACGAAGGCCCCGAGCGUUAUCCGGAUUUAUUGGGCGUAAAGCGUCCGCAGGGGGUCUUGUGCGUCUCUUGUUAAAUCUCAGUGCUCAACGCUGAGGCUACAUGAGAUACGGCAAGACUAGAGGAUGUCAGAGGCUACUGGAACGCACAGUGUAGGGGUGAAAUCCGUUGAUAUUGUGCGGAACACCGAAGGCGAAGGCAGGUAGCUGGGACAUUCCUGACCCUCAUGGACGAAAGCGUGGGGAGCAAAAAGGAUUAGAUACCCGCGUAGUC